RNAcentral lists this ribosomal RNA (497 nucleotides) under uncultured bacterium. RNAcentral's name for it is "partial 16S ribosomal RNA". It matches the Rfam family "Bacterial small subunit ribosomal RNA", at positions 28 to 507 of the family's 1533-position model. The record is from RNAcentral.
GAUGAACGCUGGCGGCGUGCCUAAUACAUGCAAGUCGAGCGAACAGAUGAGGAGCUUGCUCCUCUGACGUUAGCGGCGGACGGGUGAGUAACACGUGGAUAACCUACCUAUAAGACUGGGAUAACGUCGGGAAACCGGAGCUAAUACCGGAUAAUAUAUUGAACCGCAUGGUUCAAUAGUGAAAGACGGUUUUGCUGUCACUUAUAGAUGGAUCCGCGCCGCAUUAGCUAGUUGGUAAGGUAACGGCUUACCAAGGCAACGAUGCGUAGCCGACCUGAGAGGGUGAUCGGCCACACUGGAACUGAGACACGGUCCAGACUCCUACGGGAGGCAGCAGUAGGGAAUAUUCCGCAAUGGGCGAAAGCCUGACGGAGCAACGCCGCGUGAGUGAUGAAGGUCUUCGGAUCGUAAAACUCUGUUAUUAGGGAAGAACAAAUGUGUAAGUAACUAUGCACGUCUUGACGGUACCUAAUCAGAAAGCCACGGCUAACUACGUG